CUUGUGCAGCUAGUCUCUCCUUUCCUGGGGAAAUUCCCUGAGUUGUUUAAUUGGUUUAAAAACUUUCUGGGCUAUAAGGAGUCUGUACAUCUGGAAACUUUUCCAAAGGAGCGAGCCACAGAGGGCAUUGCCAUGGAGAUAGAUUAUGCCUCUUGUAAAUGAUUGGGCUCCAGCUGUCGAGCCCUACCAAAGAGUUACCAGCAGCCCAAGUGUACCGGACGGACUCCUCUCUGUAAAGAGGUAAGGCCUUCCCUAGCAGGGAUCACUGGGUCCUCAGCUUUCUCCGGAAGGGAGUGGUAGUACCAAGGAUUGAGAAAUUAUGUGAAUGAUGAAAUUAAGAACCCUUUU
Cebus imitator (Panamanian white-faced capuchin) is the source of this 348-nucleotide long non-coding RNA. RefSeq lists it as uncharacterized. NCBI's taxonomy places the organism in Eukaryota, Metazoa, Chordata, Mammalia, Primates, Cebidae. The transcript has 2 exons. The record is from RefSeq and is a predicted model, not a curated record.